UCACACCCGUUCCCAUGCCGAACACGGAAGUUAAGCUCUUCAGCGCCGAUGGUAGUCGGGGGUUUCCCCCUGUGAGAGUAGGACGCCGCCAAAC
RNAcentral lists this ribosomal RNA (94 nucleotides) under Bacillus subtilis. Lineage: Bacteria; Bacillati; Bacillota; Bacilli; Caryophanales; Bacillaceae. The record is from RNAcentral.